RNAcentral lists this ribosomal RNA (483 nucleotides) under uncultured bacterium. RNAcentral describes it as "partial 16S ribosomal RNA". It matches the Rfam family "Bacterial small subunit ribosomal RNA", at positions 28 to 507 of the family's 1533-position model. The record is from RNAcentral.
AUUGAACGCUGGCGGCAUGCUUUACACAUGCAAGUCGAACGGCAGCGCGGGCUUCGGCCUGGCGGCGAGUGGCGAACGGGUGAGUAAUGCAUCGGAACGUGCCCAGUAGUGGGGGAUAGCCCGGCGAAAGCCGGAUUAAUACCGCAUACGACCUGAGGGUGAAAGCGGGGGACCGAAAGGCCUCGCGCUAUUGGAGCGGCCGAUGUCGGAUUAGCUAGUUGGUGGGGUAAAGGCUUACCAAGGCGACGAUCCGUAGCUGGUCUGAGAGGACGACCAGCCACACUGGGACUGAGACACGGCCCAGACUCCUACGGGAGGCAGCAGUGGGGAAUUUUGGACAAUGGGGGCAACCCUGAUCCAGCCAUGCCGCGUGCGGAAGAAGGCCUUCGGGUUGUAAACCGCUUUUGUUCGGGAAGAAAUCCUCUGGGCUAAUACCCCGGGGGGAUGACGGUACCGGAAGAAUAAGCACCGGCUAACUACGUG